Molecule: ribosomal RNA, 371 nt
Filed under: uncultured bacterium
Lineage: Bacteria
Description: bacterial SSU rRNA
Rfam family: Bacterial small subunit ribosomal RNA
Source: RNAcentral
UCAGCAGCCCGCGGUAAUACGGAGGGUGCAAGCGUUAAUCGGAAUUACUGGGCGUAAAGCGCACGCAGGCGGUCUGUCAAGUCGGAUGUGAAAUCCCCGGGCUCAACCUGGGAACUGCAUUCGAAACUGGCAGGCUGGAGUCUUGUAGAGGGGGGUAGAAUUCCAGGUGUAGCGGUGAAAUGCGUAGAGAUCUGGAGGAAUACCGGUGGCGAAGGCGGCCCCCUGGACAAAGACUGACGCUCAGGUGCGAAAGCGUGGGGAGCAAACAGGAUUAGAUACCCUGGUAGUCCACGCUGUAAACGAUGUCGACUUGGAGGUUGUUCCCUUGAGGAGUGGCUCCGGAGCUAACGCGUAAGUCGACCGCCUGGAUA